RNAcentral lists this ribosomal RNA (1098 nucleotides) under Triticum aestivum (bread wheat). RNAcentral's name for it is "partial small subunit ribosomal RNA". Lineage: Eukaryota; Viridiplantae; Streptophyta; Magnoliopsida; Poales; Poaceae. The record is from RNAcentral.
AUGGCUGGUGGAGGAAAAUCAUUGAAACAUCCCAAGGUGCCAACGAAAAAUCAAGAAUCUGAAUCCGAGGAAAUGGAGGAGGAAAUUCCAUCCGCCAACACCCAAUCUGAUGAUGAUGCGAUCACUAACGCACUUACCAUAUUCUUUGAUCGGAAUCCCAAGAAAGGUGGCCAUCAUAGAGAGAAAAACACUAUUGCUGAGAUGUCUGAGCCUGAUGGUUACAGAACCCCUCCGGGAGAAGAAUCAACACUUGAUCACAACAAUGGGCUGCAAAGGAUAUGCCGCCACUGGGCGAGCAAAUGGUUCAGAUAUGAAAAUGUUCGCAAGAAGUUUCUAAUUCUAUUUGCCUUCAAUCCACAUUGGAAUGUUUGUAUAGCUAAGAAUUGCAUUGGCCAGAAUGAUGAAAAAGUCAGGAUGCCGCCUCCUGCAGAUGCUCAGCGUGACUCCCUCAAAACCAUCGAGGAUUUCCCCGAGGAAGUUGCCAAGAGGGCAAAGGCUAAAGCAAAACAUGAAGCCAAAGAAGUGAAGAAAAAGCAAGUUGAAGCUAAAAAUGUCAAACUCGCAAAAGAGGAUGUGUUGAAGAAAGAGCAAGCAUCUGCUUCCAAGGGAAGCAAGUCCAAGAAGUCAGUUCCUCCUCGCGCUCCUCGAAAGAAAACCACCACCAAGAGAAGAAGAAAGGUUGUUUCUGACUCGUCUGAUGAAGAAAUGGGUGAUGAAAUCGCCAUAUAUGACCAGCUUUCCGUUCUAGAUAAUCCAACACAAACUCCUUCACCAGUGAAUGUUUUUCUCUCUCCAAGGAGACCACCAAGGCAUGAACCCAUGCCUAUAGCUAGAAAACCUUUGGUUUCAAUCCCUCCAACUUCUUCGAAGAGCACUACAAAGAGAAAACUGCAUGCCGAAGAAGAUGCAUCAGCCAAGAAGGCCAAGCACAUUGUUCCUGCUGCCACAGAGGAAAAAUAUGACUUUAAGAGGAUGACUGGCAUCAUUGACAGUGCCGCAUAUGAUGCACAAACUGAUUAUGUGAGUAGUUUGGGUCUGCCAGAAGAUGUCACUGAAAUAGUGAUAGAGCAUUUUCGUCAACUGAAGAAUAAUCUCUAG